This 434-nucleotide long non-coding RNA is filed under the name Olea europaea (common olive). Its description in RNAcentral is "long non-coding RNA (OEUR_LNC014083)". The record is from RNAcentral. Lineage: Eukaryota; Viridiplantae; Streptophyta; Magnoliopsida; Lamiales; Oleaceae.
GCCAAUCGGUUUCUUGUCAGGAGGAAGUGAAGUAAGUAGUCAAGUAUUAUUAACUUCAAGGGCUCGAAUCUCAGCUUGCAUGGCAUCAUGCCAAUGGGAAUGUUUGACAGCUUGAGAAUAUCGAGUGGGAUCAGAGGUUUGAGAAAAGGUAGAAAGAAAGGCAAAAUGAGCAGGUGUAAAUUUAUGGUAAGAAAUAAAAUGAGAUAAAGGAUGAGUAGUACCUAAAGAUGUAACGAGGUUAGUGGAAGGCGUAACAGAUGAAGAUGAUGGCAGGGUAGGGCAAAUGUAGUCAGCAAGAUGAGCGGGACGUUGGAUAGUAAGACGAGGACGAGUUUGAAGAGAAGAGGGUGCAGAUGCGGGAGGAGGUGGAGAGGGUGGCGUUGGCAGUGGAGAAGGAUCAGGGACGGGGAGAGGUAAGACUAGGGAUGACGGGG